Molecule: transfer RNA, 74 nt
Filed under: Terrisporobacter mayombei
Lineage: Bacteria; Bacillati; Bacillota; Clostridia; Peptostreptococcales; Peptostreptococcaceae
Also listed under: 3 other names
Description: tRNA-Lys
Rfam family: tRNA
About the family: Transfer RNA (tRNA) molecules are approximately 80 nucleotides in length. Their secondary structure includes four short double-helical elements and three loops (D, anti-codon, and T loops).
Source: RNAcentral
GGCUCAUUAGCUUAGUUGGUAGAGCACCUGACUCUUAAUCAGGGGGUCCUGGGUUCGAGUCCCAGAUGGGUCAC